Molecule: ribosomal RNA, 299 nt
Filed under: uncultured bacterium
Lineage: Bacteria
Description: partial 16S ribosomal RNA
Rfam family: Bacterial small subunit ribosomal RNA
Source: RNAcentral
CUAUGCGCCUUGCCAGCCCGCUCAGGUGUGCCAGCAGCCGCGGUAAUACGUAGGGGGCAAGCGUUAUCCGGAUUUACUGGGUGUAAAGGGAGCGUAGACGGCUUGGCAAGCCAGAUGUGAAAGGCUGGGGCUCAACCCCAGGACUGCAUUUGGAACUGUCAUGCUAGAGUGUCGGAGAGGCAGGCGGAAUUCCUAGUGUAGCGGUGAAAUGCGUAGAUAUUAGGAGGAACACCAGUGGCGAAGGCGGCCUGCUGGACGAUGACUGACGUUGAGGCUCGAAAGCGUGGGGAGCAAACAGG